GACGAACGCUAGCGGCGUGCCUAAUACAUGCAAGUCGAGCGGACCUCUUCGGAGGUCAGCGGCGGACGGGUGAGUAACACGUGGGCAACCUGCCUGUAAGACUGGGAUAACUCCGGGAAACCGGAGCUAAUACCGGAUACUAUGUCAAACCGCAUGGUUUGACAUUCAAAGACGGUUUCGGCUGUCACUUACAGAUGGGCCCGCGGCGCAUUAGCUAGUUGGUGAGGUAACGGCUCACCAAGGCGACGAUGCGUAGCCGACCUGAGAGGGUGAUCGGCCACACUGGGACUGAGACACGGCCCAGACUCCUACGGGAGGCAGCAGUAGGGAAUCUUCCGCAAUGGACGAAAGUCUGACGGAGCAACGCCGCGUGAGUGAUGAAGGUUUUCGGAUCGUAAAACUCUGUUGUCAGGGAAGAACAAGUGCCGGAGUAACUGCCGGCGCCUUGACGGUACUUGACCAGAAAGCCACGGCUAACUACGUGCCAGCCGCCGCGGUAA
This 500-nucleotide ribosomal RNA is filed under the name uncultured bacterium. RNAcentral's name for it is "partial 16S ribosomal RNA". It matches the Rfam family "Bacterial small subunit ribosomal RNA", at positions 28 to 523 of the family's 1533-position model. The record is from RNAcentral.